Molecule: transfer RNA, 77 nt
Filed under: Pseudomonadota bacterium
Lineage: Bacteria; Pseudomonadati; Pseudomonadota
Also listed under: 2 other names
Description: Proteobacteria bacterium tRNA-Pro
Rfam family: tRNA
About the family: Transfer RNA (tRNA) molecules are approximately 80 nucleotides in length. Their secondary structure includes four short double-helical elements and three loops (D, anti-codon, and T loops).
Source: RNAcentral
CGGGGCGUAGCGCAGCCUGGUAGCGCACCUGACUGGGGGUCAGGUGGUCGCAGGUUCAAAUCCUGUCGUCCCGACCA